GAGUUGUAUGAAAGGAGAGAAGGUUAGCACUCCCCUUGAUAAGGAUGGAAGAGGUCCUAGUGACCUUUACAACACGCAUAUGGUUAAGGAUUCCCCAGAGGACUCUCUUAGGGCUGCCAGGAGCUUGG
Malaclemys terrapin pileata is the source of this 128-nucleotide small nuclear RNA. The record is from RefSeq and is a predicted model, not a curated record. NCBI's taxonomy places the organism in Eukaryota, Metazoa, Chordata, Testudines, Emydidae.